RNAcentral lists this unclassified non-coding RNA (352 nucleotides) under soil metagenome. RNAcentral describes it as "partial contains 5.8S ribosomal RNA, internal transcribed spacer 2, and large subunit ribosomal RNA". The stretch from base 1 to 120 matches the Rfam family "5.8S ribosomal RNA", at positions 35 to 154 of the family's 154-position model. The record is from RNAcentral.
GAUGAAGAACGCAGCGAAAUGCGAUAAGUAAUGUGAAUUGCAGAAUUCAGUGAAUCAUCGAAUCUUUGAACGCACAUUGCGCCCGCCAGUAUUCUGGCGGGCAUGCCUGUUCGAGCGUCAUUACAACCCUCAGGCCCCCGGGCCUGGCGUUGGGGAUCGGCGGAAGCCCCCUGUGGGCACACGCCGUCCCUCAAAUACAGUGGCGGUCCCGCCGCAGCUUCCAUUGCGUAGUAGCUAACACCUCGCAACUGGAGAGCGGCGCGGCCAUGCCGUAAAACACCCAACUUCUGAAUGUUGACCUCGAAUCAGGUAGGAAUACCCACUGAACUUAAGCAUAUCAAUAAGCGGAGGA